Molecule: long non-coding RNA, 2061 nt
Filed under: Erythranthe guttata (spotted monkey flower)
Lineage: Eukaryota; Viridiplantae; Streptophyta; Magnoliopsida; Lamiales; Phrymaceae
Description: long non-coding RNA (EGUT_LNC000368)
Source: RNAcentral
ACAAAAGGAUGAAGACGCCGCCAAUUCAAAAUUUCAAGAUAUCAAUGAAGCUUAUCAGGGUAAUUUGGGAUUAUUUUUUUUAAUUAUAUUAUUUUUUAUUAUUUAUUAUUUAUUUUUGUCGCUGGUAAAUUGUUAGUUGGGAAUUUAGAAUUAUAAUUUGAAAUAUUAUCGACGGAGUCAAUUUGAAUAACCGACGUCAAGCUUUGACGAAUGGGAGAAUUUGACAAGGCAAAAAAACCUAAUGAAUUCUGUUUCUUUACAUGCCUAAAAAUUAUGUUGGUUUUCAAAACCUAGAAAAAUAGGAAACAUUGGCAAAAAAAAUAACAAACCAACAUUGAUUGAUGUGGCAAGAAUCGUGCCGGAAUCAUGGUACCUGUUGAUUUUCCUACCAUUUUCGAACCUUGUAUCGUGUCUACUUUUUUACACGUCGGAAUAUAAUAGAAAAUAGCGUUGGUAUGAAUGCGUAAACACGUCUUUACAGGGUAAGUCAGAGUGUUACUAAUUUAAACACAAAACCUUAAUAACCUUGUAAUUAGCCAAUAUAUGUAAUAAUGAUCGAUUAAGUAAUCAAUCGUGCAUGUAAAGAUCUACAAUUUCUUGAGAUAAAUUCGAAUAUUUGAGCUUAUCAUUAAGUCUACAGCCAACGGUCUCAACUUUUAUAUAUGUUGUAAUCAAGCGGAGCCAGGAUUUUAAGUCCGAUUUUUGUUGCUAUUAUACACAAUGUUUUUUUUAUAUAAAAUAAUACCGGUUGUAAUAAAACGUGACUUACAUUGGAAUAUUUCUCAACUGUGUUGGGGAACAGUGUUGAGCAAUCCUGCAAAACGGCACGAAUAUGACAAGAAAGGAUGCUUAACGGUGAGUUGGUAAAUCGGGGUACCUAUCUUUUUAGCAAAUCGACUCAGAGCCACCUCAUUCCAGUAAAUGGGAGGCUAGUUAUGGAGCUUAACACACACCGGAACUAUGCACAUCUCACUGGGGUCAAAGUCGAAGUAUCUCGCCAUUGGUUUGAGGUGCAACUGUCUGCUGAAGAUGGUAUACGGGCCUCCUUCUAGCACUUUCUUCUUGUCUUCUUCCAUCUCAAACGUGAAUAUUAACCAGCCAUUAUCAUGGAUUUUGUAGCCUGUUUCCCCUGGAAUUUUCCAGCAAAAUAUCCAACGAGACAGAUGCCGAAGGUUUGCUCAAUCUCAGUUUCAUCGGAAGGUUGGAAAAUCAUAUCUUCUUCAUCGUCUGAGGGGAGAUUCGUGAGCUGAAAUCCGUGUUUAGGCACCCUAUUCUUCGCAAAUAAUGAGUUGUAUGGGGCUUUGGGAGGUAUAGCAGAAUUCUGUUCUUGACGAGUUGGUUGUGGCAUUUCAUCGAACACCUUGUCUGCACUAGUUGGAACAGCUGUUUGUGGAAGAGUUUCUUUUGGAUCGACCAUCCUUGUGCUAACAGAGUCAGCAUCACAAGGGAAUUCUCUUCUAGACGCAGAUGAAGAACUGUUGUAAUCUUCGAUUGAGGGAUGAGUAUCAUCUGCGAUAGGCUGAUAAUCGUGGUUCUGCUUCAUAAUCGAUGCUAAGGAAGAUUCUUCACAGGCCUGGGUGCCAUUCAAUUGUUCGUCGGUGCUCUUGGCAAAGAACGCCCCUUUUUCUUUCGUGAAUUCAAUUGCAGAUCCUUCGUCUUCGGUGAUGGGUUUUUUGCUCUGGGUCAUCUGCGUUGACUUGCUUGUGGUGCCUCUAUGCUUAUUUCUGUAAUUUCCCAUGGAUUACAGCAAGAAAAAAGCGAAAUCGAAAAAGAUGCAGACCCAAAAUUGCGAUAGACGCAGAUUUGGGGAAAAUAGGAUUUAUGGGUAAAAUCAAACAGCGAGAGAGUUGUGGUGUAGAUUUCUUGUAACUUGGAAUCGAGAAAUUACAAGAAAUAGCCAAUUUGGGACAUGAAUUGGUGAAUGUUCUUCGUAGAGAAAGGGGAAGCACGCCUCCAACGGUCGGAAAUUAGAGAGUUUGGAGACUUUCUCUCACUAACUUUCUUUCUCUACUACUGAGAGCUGUUUCUAGUGUACCAAAAGGCGAAAUCCCUCGUCUCCAG